This 368-nucleotide ribosomal RNA is filed under the name uncultured organism. RNAcentral describes it as "bacterial SSU rRNA". It matches the Rfam family "Bacterial small subunit ribosomal RNA", at positions 526 to 896 of the family's 1533-position model. The record is from RNAcentral.
CGGAGGGUGCAAGCGUUAUCCGGAUUCACUGGGUUUAAAGGGUGCGUAGGCGGAAUGGAGAGUCCGUUGUGAAAUCUCUGAGCUUAACUCGGAAAUUGCGGUGGAUACUAUCAUUCUUGAAUACUGUGGAGGUUAGCGGAAUAUGUCAUGUAGCGGUGAAAUGCAUAGAUAUGACAUAGAACACCAAUUGCGAAGGCAGCUGGCUACACAGAUAUUGACGCUGAGGCACGAAAGCGUGGGGAUCAAACAGGAUUAGAUACCCUGGUAGUCCACGCCCUAAACGAUGAUUACUCGACAUUUGCGAUACACAGCAAGUGUCUGAGCGAAAGCAUUAAGUAAUCCACCUGGGAAGUACGACCGCAAGGUUG